This 77-nucleotide transfer RNA is filed under the name Chryseobacterium sp. MYb7. RNAcentral's name for it is "tRNA-Arg". It matches the Rfam family "tRNA". From Rfam's summary of the family: Transfer RNA (tRNA) molecules are approximately 80 nucleotides in length. Their secondary structure includes four short double-helical elements and three loops (D, anti-codon, and T loops). Further hydrogen bonds mediate the characteristic L-shaped molecular structure. tRNAs have two regions of fundamental functional importance: the anti-codon, which is responsible for specific mRNA codon recognition, and the 3' end, to which the tRNAs corresponding amino acid is attached (by aminoacyl-tRNA synthetases). tRNAs cope with the degeneracy of the genetic code in two manners: having more than one tRNA (with a specific anti-codon) for a particular amino acid; and 'wobble' base-pairing, i.e. permitting non-standard base-pairing at the 3rd anti-codon position. The record is from RNAcentral. Lineage: Bacteria; Pseudomonadati; Bacteroidota; Flavobacteriia; Flavobacteriales; Weeksellaceae.
GGUUCCGUAACUCAACUGGAUAGAGUAUGGGUUUUCUAAACCCAAAGUUAGAGGUUCGAAUCCUCUCGGAAUCACAA